GGAGAGGUGACCGAGCGGCCGAAGGUGCACGCCUGGAAAGCGUGUGUGCCCUUACGGGCACCGAGGGUUCGAAUCCCUCCCUCUCCG
This 87-nucleotide transfer RNA is filed under the name Thiohalorhabdus denitrificans. It matches the Rfam family "tRNA". From Rfam's summary of the family: Transfer RNA (tRNA) molecules are approximately 80 nucleotides in length. Their secondary structure includes four short double-helical elements and three loops (D, anti-codon, and T loops). Further hydrogen bonds mediate the characteristic L-shaped molecular structure. tRNAs have two regions of fundamental functional importance: the anti-codon, which is responsible for specific mRNA codon recognition, and the 3' end, to which the tRNAs corresponding amino acid is attached (by aminoacyl-tRNA synthetases). tRNAs cope with the degeneracy of the genetic code in two manners: having more than one tRNA (with a specific anti-codon) for a particular amino acid; and 'wobble' base-pairing, i.e. permitting non-standard base-pairing at the 3rd anti-codon position. The record is from Rfam by way of RNAcentral. Lineage: Bacteria; Pseudomonadati; Pseudomonadota; Gammaproteobacteria; Thiohalorhabdales; Thiohalorhabdaceae.